UAUAUAUAUUAUGAUUAUAUAAAUGUGUUAUUCCUCUUAUUUCCCGCAAUUCCAUUUUUUUAUCCAUUAAACAAUAAUGGAUAUUGGAUAACAAUAAACUGUCAUUCCUUCUCAUAAACUGUCAUUCUCUGUCUCGAGGUUAAUAAGUCGCAACAAAAAAUGCAGCUUCUCAUGUCUCCGAGAAACCGCCAAAAAAAGAAUAGUAAAAGUCCUCUGUUCCGAAAGAUCUCGGAAAGCCGUUACGCCAUUACAAAGCAAUGAAACUGGAGACUCCUUCCAACAGUUCCACAUGUGAUUAAAUCUGGCACGUAUUCUGUACAAACCCCUGUGUAGGUUGUUAUUACAGGUUAUAAUAAAUUAAUCGACCGGUUCUGACCCGCUCAGAAGCAGGAAUUAAGGAGCGCCGUGAUAUAAAAGUGUAUAGAAUUGUACCCAAGGACGCAAAUUUGCGACACAAUGCAAGUUUAGUCAGUUGUAGACACCGGGUCACACGGUGCUAUACUGCCCCCUUAGUCUUUAUGGUGGUAUUGCAUGACGCAGUGUUAAUUUCUGAGAACGUGGCGGCCAUUUUGCAUAAAUUAAAACUAUAAUGCAGGUUUAAAGCUAAUGUUCUUACUGAUUUUCCCAAAUUAGCCAUGCAGUAACUGUACAGCUGUAGUCAAACUCAAAGCAAAGAGCUUGCGGGAGCCUCUGUUUUUCUUUUUAAACGCCCUGUUGUUUUAAUGGAUUUAUUUGUUUAUGUCUUGAGGUAGCCAGUUUAAUCCAUUAUUCAUAAAUUCAACCCGGAUAGCAGCAGUAACGACGCAUAGCUGGGGCUUAGGAUCGGCCAGUUAUUCGUUUCUGUACACUUCAUAACGAGCACCGCUAAACCAAAAUGCGGUUUUUGCACGGUCAUUGCACAAGUCUUUUUUUGUUGUUUUUUAAGAGAGAGAGAGAGAGAGAGAGAGUAUGUGAGCAAAUAAAUCCAUAAUGGCUGCAUCGCCGAUGCGCAGAAUGAAAUGUCAGAAUGAAUCUGAUUUGCACUGUACACGGGUUUUUCAUUGCUGUUAUUGAGUAAGGAUUUGUUUUCUGUGUCACAGUCUGUCUGUAAAUGGUAGCAAAGAUGAGAAGAAUAUAUUUGUUUCAGUUCAGACAUAUCUAAGAAGCAAACUAAAGCUGUGUUGCAUUAAGGUUUCUCUGUGUGUGUGUGUGUGUGUGUGUGUGUGUGUGUGUGUGUGUGUGUGUGUGUGAAAGCGUCAUCCAUGAGGCUUGGGGCUCAGGUAAAUCAGGUCUAUUAUGCUGAAUUAUAACCCUUACAUCCUGUUCACGCAACACAUUUACAAAACAAAUGUGUUUUUUUCUUUAAAUUAUCAAUUAAAUGAAACUUAAGGCUUUAUUUUUAAACAAUCGUAAUAAAAUGGCGUAAAUGAAUACCCCAAAUUAUAGCAAAUUCCUCCUAAAAAGCUCAGGUGUUCUUGACGUCAGGACUUUCUCUCAUUAGGUACUCAAUUACCGCCAACGUUUUUCGUUGAUGUGAUGUCACGGCACAUUUCUGUAAUUAGAUACGCUUUGUUUACGAACGAUUCGAUCUUUCCGAACGAGUCAGUAAAGCGAACGAAUACUUUCGCUCAGGUGCUGCUUUGCAACUGGAAACCAUCAAAAGGGGUUUGCUUUAUGUACUUAACUGUCUCGUGUUUAUUAAACGUCUGCGGAUUGUGUACCGUAAGUGGUGUGUAUUGCAAACCUGAGAUGUGCGCCAUCUUUCAUUCGUAACCAAGAGUCACUCUUCUCUCAUUUGGGCCAGUGUGCGUUUGAAUGAGUGAAUCAGUCUGUGUGUGAAUCUUUGGGGUGAUAACUUAAGAUUCACUCCUCUCUCAAUCGACUCAGAAUGUGAAUCAGCAAAUACUUUGAUCAUGCCUGAGAUUCACUUCUCUUUCAGGUCAGUGAGUGAAUCACUGACUCUUUUAAUCAUGACCGAGAUUUGAUCUUCUCUCAUUUGGGUGAGUGUAUGAAUCUCCAAACUUCACUCUUCUCUCAUCAUGGGCCAGUGUGUGAAUCAGUCAGUGUGCGAAUCAGUGAAUCUUUCGAUCAUAACUAAAAUUCACUCUUCUCUCAUUCGACUCAGAAUGUGAAUCAGCAAAUAAUUCGAUCAUGACCAAGGUUUGCUGCUCUCUCUUUUGGGUCAGUGUGUGAAUCAGUGAAGCUUUCAGUAAUGAACGAGAUUCGCUCCUUUUUCAUUUGGGUCAGUGUGUGAAUCAGUGAAUCUUUUGAUCAUAACUAAGAUUCACUUCUCUCUUAUUCAGGUCACUGUGUGAAUCAGUGAAUUAUUUGGUAACAACAGAGAUUCGAUCCUCUCUCAUUUGGGCCAGUGUGUGAAUUAGUCAGUGUGUGAAUCAGUGAAUCAUUUGAUCAUAACUAAAAUUUACUCUUCUGUCACUGGGGCCAGUGUGUGAAUCAGUUAAUCAUUUGGUAAUGACAGAAAUUCGAUUCUCUCUCAGUCAGGUCGAUGUGUGAAUCAGUGAAUCAUUUGGUAAUGACAGAGAUUCAAUCCUCUCUCAUUUGGGUUGAGGUGUGAAUCAGUUAGUGUGUGAAUCAGUGAAUCAUUUGAUCAUAACUAAAAAUUACUCUUCUGUCACUGUGGCCAGUGUGUGAAUCAUUUCGUCAUGACAGAGAUACGCUCCUUUGUUGAGUCACUGAAUUCAACGAGUUCCGUUCAGGCUGUUUUAAUCAGAGCUGGAGAUUUCUAGUGCUUCAGUCAUAUCUCUUUGAGUUUUAUUAUUAUUGCAGCUCAUAAGCAAUAGAAACAUUUUCCACAGGCUCUUUUUCUCUGGAAAUUAAAUCUCAUGAAACAUCAUAUUAUGUUUUGCAGAAAUUUUUUGUCAUCAUAUUUUCACUGAGAUAAAGAUAAGAUUUAUUGGGGACUUAAAAAAAUAGAUGCUACAUUACUAUACAAUCUAAACAGUGAACAGAAUAUGAGGGUUAAAUAAGACAGCAGUAAAGAGUCAGAGACCUAAGCCUCGAGUUUCAAGCCUCAUUUAUAACACGCUUCAGACUUAGAGGACUCGCAGAACCUCGGGGUACCAACUCCAGGCAUCUUCACAUUACCGCAUGCACCAUCACAAAUACUUACAGAAGAUACUAUUUAAAAUCGUUGACUUUUAAAUGUAUUGUGAAGUGUUUUUUUUUUUUCUUUUUCUGUCUGCCAGGAAACUAUUUCUGUGUGUAUAUGUAUGUAACAGAAGCGUAUCAGAAGAAUCUUCACCAAAAAGCACGUUCUUAAGUAUUUGUGCCUAAACUAUAGCCAUACAUCACCCGUUGCAUCAUUCCUGAUGUGUACACGCACGGACGAGUGUGUAUCCAUUCGACGUCUUCUCAAAAAUCACCUUUGCGAGAUGGCCGAACGUACAAAAUUAAGUCAAAUCUCUAAAACACAGGCGGAGAAAACAUACGUUGCCUUCGAGUCCUGUUGGAAAUAUCGUAACGACGAGAUAUUACGUACAAACAUGCGGCUAUACCGUCAUUUCUAGCAUUCUAGAAACCCACGAUUGAGCGGUUGUAUCACUGUCGGUUCUGUAAUUAUCUAACGUUUAUUUAGUUGCCACUAAAUAAAUAAACAAAUGUGACCGUGUGCGACGCAGAAACUCGUCCUCCUGCGUUAACGUAGCUGCUGCAAGAGUUUUAUCGUCGUGAAGGAGAUGUUCGAAGAAGUUCAGAGAAACCAAUCCCGUCCGAACAGAGGUCUGAUUUUAGAACUGAGGAAUUUGUCUGUUCACAAUUUCCACGUAUUGUUAGUGGUGAAAAUCAUACGGUGUGAAGAAGCCUUCCCGGGACGAAAAAUUUCUCCAGGCCACAUGUUUUAUUUCUCUCCAAAUACUUUUGUGCUCAUAUCGUGCUGUUCUUAACACUUGUAAAAAAAGAAAAAAUGAAAGAAAAAAAAAGUAGGAUCUUCUGAGACGGAUCUUCUGGAAGGCAGCAAAAGGACCGUGCAUGUCUGUUCAUCUUUACCGUACUUUCCUGGCAAAUACGACACGCCUCGUUAAAGUCGUCGUGUUAAAAUCCUGUAAUGAAGUUCCUGUCUAGCUUCUCAGUUUCUUUCGAUUCACUCCUGCUAUGAAAAAUGCUAAUUUCAGCUAAAAGUAGAGUAUCUUCCCACAGCGGUUUAAUAAUUACAAUAGAACUAGAUUAAUAUCCAGGAAUACAGGCGUAUAUCAUGCGUCUGUAUGGAAUAUUAUUGAUCGGUAGCUUGCAAUUUUUACAGUGAAUCGUUCAGUAAAAAUGCUAGCAUAUCAGUUAGCAAAAACGCAGCCAUGCUGAGAAUCCGGACAUUAAUUUGGCGACAGUUUGGUGUUGGGCAGCUGUGAUUUUGAUAAAAUUUUUGAUGCGUGUUGCGACUAAACUCUAACAAAAUUUUCUGUGUAAAAUACAACUGCUAAUAAUGACACACCAAAAUAAAAAGAUCUUACAGUCCAAAAAACUGUUAACUAACACAUGUCGUGUAGGUCUGGGAUGCGAAUAAACGAAUGUAUAAAGUUCCAGAGCACUUGUGAAAAUGAAUUCUAGCUAGUAGCGCUAGUUUGGUUUGGAUUCAUUAGACUGCGUGGAGCAAAACCGGCCAAAGCGAAACAUUCUUCGAAUUGCACUUUCCGAUAGCUGAACGUUUCGGUAUGAAACGUUGUGUUUAGUUUGAUUUGGGACAUUAUAAUGAUAACGUGAGAUGUCACCUCUCUCUAUGCCGUAGUUUAGAUGGUGUAGUGUAGCGUAGAGGUGUGCGAGGGACUUUGCAGUUCUUAUUAUUGUUCAUAUUCCUAACUGUCUGCGAUAUUUGUUUCCAAAAAAAUAAACAAACUAGUCGUUUUUAAAUCACGUGACCCGAUGUGACGUUCACAAUAUCGGUAUCAUCGCUUGUAGUUUGUCUCUUGUGGGCAUGUACUGACUGCUACUUCUGUUGCGUAUGGGAGUGGCCUGUCCAGUAGUAGCUAUAAUGUAUAUUAAAGCUAACUAAUCAGGAUUUCACAGAUUUUUUUUUUAAAUUUAAACGCUUGAUUUUGGUGCGCCGUUUUUCUAAAUUUGUGAUGCAACUUGCCGAGUCUCUUGUGCUUUUUUUGUGGAAAACUACUCAAAUUGGUGAAAUGGCGAUGGCACAAAAUUGUUUUGCGCGCUCUUUCGCAGUGAUGUUUGUUGAUAAAUUAGAGCUUUUACGUAGCUGUACUCAUGUGCGAUGCACGUGAAUCGAAGAGGGCCUUGGCCGAAUGCGCUGUGCGUUGUGAUGACAUCACAUGACAAUCUUCUUUAAUUUUGAAAAAUUUCAAAUGUUGCAGAGUUUCAUUGAUUUCGCGUUCAUUUAUGUGAUCGCAAUAUCGCCAAAUCCAGGAGGGACUGACUAGUUAAAGAGAAAUGAAUGAAAUACUAUCCGGUGUGAAAAUUAACUGUAUAUCUUACGUUCUCUGCUUAUUAGCGCAAGCUUCGUUUUCAGAUUAGAUUAGCGAAAAAGAAAAUGAACUGUACUAGCUAGGUACACUCACGAGAGGCACCGGCGAUCUCUUUAUUUUUCUUCGUAACGUCUCCAUGCAUAUUAAAUGUACCUAUGCGACAAGAUAAAAUAAAACCAUUAUAAGUUGCCGUUAUACGUUUUUCUUCCUUUUUUUUUUUUUUUUUUUUUACGUCAAACAGUGGAGAACUGAAGAAACGUCGGACCGCAUGCGCUGCAGGAUUGGUCCGAGGAAUAAUUCGAGCGGAUCACUUGCAUUUGUCACUUUACAGCGUCAUAAUUAUCGUAAUUUAGAUAGAAUUUAGAUAGAAAACAUUUCAGUUCAAAUGUUACCUGUUGCUGAAAUCCUUGAUCUGUUUCAAACAUGUACGUAGUAAACGAACAGGCGUCUGUCUGUCUGUCUGUUAUAGCAUUUACUAAACAUUAAUCAAGUAUGUUCAUGUUAAUAAACAUGGCCUUUCUUUGUCAUGCAAGCUUUUAAGUAAAUAAAAUCUGAAUUUUUGUUGUGAGUUUCCGUGAGAUCCCAGUCCUGAUGCACACCUCUAAACUAGCGUAGAUUUAGUAACGGUCAACUGCAGCUAUUUUUCGAUACAGCACUUUGCCUUUAGAAGAGAAAUGCUUCCUGCGUUUAACAUGUUUGGCUCACUUUAUCGAUACACACGCGUGCGUGACCACAUUAAAAACAAAUAAACACCAGUCGUUCAGUACGGAAGCAUUCGAGAAACCAGCACGUAGAUUCCUAUCGGGUUUUUUUUUCCAUCCUUUCGUCUUUGUCUUUGUGUGUGUGUGUGUGUGUGUGUGUGUGUGUGUGUGUGUGUGUGUGUAUGAAAACUAAAAAGAACAAAAGAGAGACCGUGCUGCAAAUAAACAAGGGCAUAAAACCCAAAGUCUCCUGGAUGCAUGUGUGAUUAUCAUUUCAUUUCCUGCAUGAUGACAAACGAGGCGAGGGGGGGAAAAAACGCUACGAAGCCAGCUCAUCGUUUCAUUGUGCUCAUUGUGUGCGUUUAAAAAAAAAAAAAGAAAAAAAAGAAUAUAUAAUUAACAGGAGAAAAAAAAAGAAACUGGGUUAUUUGAUCUGGAAAGAUGACGAAUGAUGAAAACGUAUACUUUCUUACAACUUUAUGCAGACAAAUUCUUUUUUUCUGUUUUUUUUCUGUUCGUUUGUAAAUAAUAAACCUUUAAACUCUAGAGGGAGAGAGAAAAAUAAAAGAAAUAUUGUCAUUUACCAUUGUGUCUGUUUGUAUUUUCUUCUCUUUUUUCCCCUCUGAUUAUUUUAUAGCUAGAUAAUAAACUUAACAUGUUAGCUAUCAUCUGGAAUGUGCAGUAUUGUUUCCUAAAUAUUAGCCAGAUAAUUAGCUAGCUGUAAACAUGUAUACAUGACUGUUCAUGUGGUAGAGGUUAGCUAAUGUUAGCUAAAAUUAGCUUGCACUCUCCAUAUUAGCUAAACUAAUUAUUUGAGAAGCCUUAGCAAAACUUAAGCUGCAAAAGAUUUGCUAAGGCUUCCCAAAUUAUAACUUUUCCCCCUGUUAUAAUUUUUUUCUUCUUCUUUUGUUUCUCAGCUCCUUGUGAUUAGCACUGCUUGGAUGCUAACUUCUCUGAUGCUAGCUUCUCUGAUGCUAGCUUCUUAUGGCGUUACUGUAUAUCCGUUUGGUGCUUUUGUAAUAUUUCAGGCCUGAAACAAGCUUACAGUAUCUAGCACAAUAAAUGAAGAAAGGAGACACAAACAUACAUAAACUAAUAUACUGUAUUUCUGUGUUAUUCAUUAAUUAACACUGAAAUAUUUAGUCUGCCAGACUUAGUUUGCCACCAGAGUGUCAACAUUUCUGUGCGUUCCCUGCACUGUCUGGACAUUCUGUUCCCAGAAAGAAAUUAAGGCAAAGUGCACACACACACACACACA
Molecule: long non-coding RNA, 7367 nt
Organism: Ictalurus punctatus (channel catfish)
Lineage: Eukaryota; Metazoa; Chordata; Actinopteri; Siluriformes; Ictaluridae
Source: Ensembl